Molecule: ribosomal RNA, 714 nt
Filed under: uncultured bacterium
Lineage: Bacteria
Description: bacterial SSU rRNA
Rfam family: Bacterial small subunit ribosomal RNA
Source: RNAcentral
AGCGGGGAUUCACUUCGGUGAAUCUGCCGGCGAGUGGCGCACGGGUGAGUAACACGUAUGCAACCUGCCUCUGUCAGGGGUAUAACUCUGCGAAAGUAGGGCUAAUACCGCGUAUAUUCCCGGAGGGCAUCCUCCGGGGAGGAAAGGUUUCGGCCGGACAGAGAUGGGCAUGCGGCGCAUUAGGCAGUUGGCGGGGUAACGGCCCACCAAACCGACGAUGCGUAGGGGUUCUGAGAGGAAGGUCCCCCACACUGGUACUGAGACACGGACCAGACUCCUACGGGGGGCAGCAGUGAGGAAUAUUGGUCAAUGGCCGGAAGGCUGAACCAGCCAAGCCGCGUGAAGGACGAAGGUGCCAAGCAUUGUAAACUUCUUUUGUCAAGGGACAAAAUCAGGCUCGAGAGCCUGACCGAGGGUACUUGAAGAAAAAGCAUCGGCUAACUCCGUGCCAGCAGCCGCGGUAAUACGGAGGAUGCGAGCGUUAUCCGGAUUUAUUGGGUUUAAAGGGUGCGUAGGCGGGCUGUUAAGUCAGCGGUAAAAGCCCGGGGCUCAACCCCGGCGAGCCGUUGAAACUGGCUGUCUUGAGAUGUCGAGAGGUAUGCGGAAUGCGCAGUGUAGCGGUGAAAUGCUUAGAUAUUGCGCAGAACUCCGAUUGCGAAGGCAGCAUACCGGCGGCGAUCUGACGCUGAGGCACGAAAGCGUGGGUAUCGAACA